AGUGAACGCUGGCGGUAGGCCUAACACAUGCAAGUCGAACGGCAGCACAGUAAGAGCUUGCUCUUACGGGUGGCGAGUGGCGGACGGGUGAGGAAUACAUCGGAAUCUACUUUUUCGUGGGGGAUAACGUAGGGAAACUUACGCUAAUACCGCAUACGACCUACGGGUGAAAGCAGGGGAUCUUCGGACCUUGCGCGAUUGAAUGAGCCGAGGUCGGAUUAGCUAGUUGGCGGGGUAAAGGCCCACCAAGGCGACGGUCCGUAGCCGGUCUGAGAGGAUGGACAGUCACACUGGAACUGAGAAACGGUCCAGACUCCUACGGGAGGCAGCAGUGGGGAAUAUUGGACAAUGGGCGCAAGCCUGAUCCAGCCAUACCGCGUGGGGGGAGAAGGCCUUCGGGUUGUAAAGCCCUUUUGUUGGGAAAGAAAAGCAGCAGGGUAAUAUCCCGCUGUUCUGACGGUACCCAGAGAAUAAGCACCGGCUAACUUCGUG
This 492-nucleotide ribosomal RNA is filed under the name uncultured bacterium. Its description in RNAcentral is "partial 16S ribosomal RNA". It matches the Rfam family "Bacterial small subunit ribosomal RNA", at positions 29 to 507 of the family's 1533-position model. The record is from RNAcentral.